Molecule: ribosomal RNA, 355 nt
Filed under: uncultured bacterium
Lineage: Bacteria
Description: bacterial SSU rRNA
Rfam family: Bacterial small subunit ribosomal RNA
Source: RNAcentral
AUUAGUAGUUGUCAGUAGUUUUGAUCCUGGCUCAGGAUGAACGCUAGCGAUAGGCUUUAACACAUGCAAGUCGGAGGGGCAGCAUUAUUCGAAGCUUUGCUUUGAAUGAUGGCGACCGGCGCACGGGUGCGUAACGCGUUAUGUAACCUGCCUGUCAGAAGGAAUAACCGGUGAAAGUCGGACUAAUACCCUAUAUGCUCACGAGAGGCACCUGCCUUUGGUGAGGAAAGAUUUAUCACUGACAGAUGGACAUGCGUCCCAUUAGCUGGUUGGUAGGGUAACGGCCUACCAAGGCAACGAUGGGUAGGGGAACUGAGAGGUUUAUCCCCCACAUUGGUACUGAGACACGGACCAA